AAAAUACUGACGCAAAUUGGAAUUGAAUAGAAAAAACAUAUAGAAAUUGAUAACAUCAAUCCCACCCAAAUCUUAUUUCUCCUCUUAUUUCCAUUGUCACUUUUGAUUCAACUACAAUGAUAAGGAAGUACUAAAAAUCAGAAAAAAUGAGUGCCAAUAAUUCAUGCCUUUCAUUCCGCAAAUACAAAAGCGAAAGAAAGGGUUUGAUUGCAUCUACCAGUUUGGGUUUCCUGUGUCCAGACAUAAUCGAACAGCAAAAAGAAAAAAGAAAUCGAGGUAAAAAAAACCAUGUAAGAGCAAUAAAGCAAUGAAGAAGCAAGAAUACUGACAUAGAAUCGAUGGAAUAAUACCAUAGAACCCCUGAAUUUUAACAAUUUUGAUGAAUUUCCUUAACUUUACUCGAACCAACAAAAGCGUAAAGGUUUCAUAACAAAGAUCAUCCUUGUUCUGAAUGUGGCUAUUCGUAUUUAAGCAAAAUCCAUGUUCCACGGUUUAAUAGCCAUGUCUCAAUUAAGCAUUGAGAAAAGCCUCAAAUAUCCUCAAAUACAAUUGUAAAAACUUUAAGCCAACAUGUCGAAACUACAACUUUUCUUAAAUUCAAGUUUAUUAGCUGGCUCCUGUCUCAUAAGAAGUUUAGUCUCAAGGCGAACAACUGAAAAACCAAAAAACAAAUCCAAAACUGAGCGGGUGUCAAGUUUAAAAAUGCAUUUUAUCGCUCAAUUUAACACACACCAACUAUAACAACAACAACAAUCCAGUAUAAUCCCAUUUAAUGGGGUCCAGGGAGAGUAGUGUGUACGCAUAUCUUACCCCUACCCUUGGGUAAAGAGGCUGUUUCCAAAUAGACCUCUGGCAUCCUUCCCUCCAAGAACUUCUCACCUUCCUCUUGGGGAGACUCGAACUCACAACCUCUCGGUUGGAAGUGGAAUUGGAAGUGGGAGUUGCUUACCAUCAGAGCAACCCCUCUUGUCAUAGCACACACCAAUUAUGAGGUUGCAAAAUUAAACUUCAUCAACAGAGCCCAAAAGAAGAAGGGAAAAAACGAUGAGGAAAAUCAGCCAUGACAUUGCAAAAUUUAGAAGGUAAGGAGAAUCGAGAAAAAGCAUGAAAAUAAAUAAAGAUGUAGAGUAGACAAAAAAAAGAACAGAACCCAUGAAAUUUGAGUAAGCAUUGUACACUAUACCAAAAAAAAAUCAUUUUAAAUUAGGCUUAAUGCCCAUACCAGUACUAUCAACGGACAGAGAUUUGAGAAGCCAUUGAUCUCAACAACAAAAAACUCCAUGUGGGCUGAAACUAAUUGAAUGAGCAAAAGAAGGAGAAACAAAUGCAAAACUACAAAUUUGAAGUGGAAGAGGGUACAAAAGAAGUAUGAACAGAACACAUGAAACUUGAGUAAGCACUGUAACACUAUACCCAUAAUUUUCUUCCUUUUAAUUAGGUAUGAUACCCAUACCAGUAUCAUUAUUGAUCUCAACAAAAAAAUUACAUGUCGGGUGAAACUAAUUGGAAAAGCAGAAAAAGGAGAAACAAAUACAAAAUUACAAAACUGAAGUUGAAGAUUAAGGGAUUGUUUAAUAUAUCAUAUGCACAGCAUAAAUCAUGGGCAAAAUUGAUUAAAAUCGUAUUUGUAGGUAGAAGGAAUUUGAGGAAGAUGAAGAGAAUUGGAGAAGCAAUCGAGAAUUUGAAAGUUUUUUUUUUAUGCACAAAGAAAUCGGGUGAAAACCUAAUAUGCUCCCUAGAACACACGUGCACUCAUUCCACGUACAGUCGACGUGAAAUGACUUAACUACCCCCAAGCUUUUAUAAAAAAACUUUUAAGCACACAGGUCGAAACCACUAGCUUUUCUAAUAUAUAGUAAUAUAUUACCAAAGUUCUCAUCAAAUUUUUUAGUUUCCCAUUUGGUCGCAGAUAUUUAUUUUAGCAUCCACUUAAUUUAAAGUCGCAACAAAAUAUCCUACUUUAAGGGGUACAAUGCUCCAUACUUCGUAUAAUAUUUUUAUCAAUGAAAUUAUGAAGGGGAACUAUGGAGCAACAGUAAAGUUGUUUCUGUGUUAUAGAAUUUGAACCGUGAAAUCAGUCACUGAUAACUAUAUUAAGGGAAAAGCCAACCCACUUAUAUCGUGGCCCUUUCCGAUUCUAUGUGAACUCGAAAUGUUUCGUGUGCCAAGCCAUCAAUGGAACUUUGCAAGACCUACUUCUAGAAAAGGAAAAAGACGAGUAACACGUGGGUUACAUACGUACGUUUUUAUUUUACUUAUUUCUUUUACAAAUGGUGCAAAAAGAAAAGGAAAGGGAAGAAGUGAAAGAGAGGGGGAAUUGUGUUUGUUGACAGACCACCUACUUAAUGACAUCACUAAUCAAAUCAAAGUUUGGCUUUUUAGAUUUCUCUAACUAAUCUAAUCAAAGUUUGUUUUUGUAGGUUUCUCUAACUAAAGUUGUAGUUAGAAUUUAGAACCUAUCAAAUCAAUAACAUUAUUACUUUAAUAGACACGCCAAACAUAAGAAGACUUUUGUAAUCUUUAACUACAUCAUCGCUAUAGACAUAAUCCUAUUACUGUUCUUACAAUAUUUUAAUUCUAAUCUUUAACCACCACAGUCACUUUUUGAAGUUUUAACCAUCAUCCAUUCAAUGACCAAAUAACAAACCAAGUAUCUAUUUGCUAUAUUGUGCAGAUUUUCCGAAAAUAUCCCUAAUGCGUGUUAGAUUCUCCAAAAUAGUAUAUUUUGAAGGAUCCGAUAUGAGUGCGACAACAUUUUGGAGAGUUCGUGCACCAUAGUUUAUUAGUGACUUAUGGUGUAGGAUUUUUAAUUUCACCAAAGAUUUUCACCUCCUCCAAUGUAGGAAUUUUAAUUUCACCAAAGAUUUUCACCUCCUCCCACUGUUUUGGAGCAACGGUAAAGUUGUUUCCGCGUGACCUAUAAAUCAAAGGUUCAAGCCGUGGGAGCAGUCACUAAUGCUUGUCGUCUACAUCACACACUUUGAGAUGUAGCCCUUUCACAGAUUCUGCUUGAACGCGGAAUGCUUUAUGCAUCAGGCUGUCCAUUUUGACCUCCUCCCACUAUUCAUGAGUACAUCCCCAAUAAAAAACGACAACCCAGUGCAUUAAGCUCCCGCUACGCCAGGGGUCUGUGGAAGGGCCGGCUACAAGGGUCUAUAGUACGUAUUCUUACCCUGCAUUUCUGCAAGAGAAUGUUUCCACGACUCGAACCCAUAACCUCUUAGUCACUUGGCAGCAACUUUACCAGUUACGCCAAGGUUCUCUUUCGGUACAUCCCCAAUAAAAGAACAAAAAAAGUACUACUUCUAUAGUAAGCUUCUAGUCCUAAUCAUACAUACCCUUGCUGCAAUGAGGAAUGAAUCAGAUAUGCUAUCUUUCUAACCUUCAAGUUUUAUCAAUUCUUGAAAAGAAUCUUAAAAGUUUCCUUUUCUGUUAAACAGAGAUGUUUUCACUAGUUUUGGGCGCAUCUAACAUUAGAGUAUAACGAGUAUAAUGAGUUUUUAUACCAUCAUGUCAUCAAAAGGAUAUCUACAGGUAAACCUUCUUAAAAUAUUGAAUUUGUAAAUUAAACUGACAAUGCAUAUCGCUUAAACUCUUAACUCGAAGAGCACAUAUUUCCUUUAGUAAGUGUGAGACAAAGAUAGGUGGUAAUAUAAUCAUAACAACAAACUUCAGUUUGUUGGAUAUAACAUCUUUGAAUGUUAAGUAAAAACCAUAAUAUUGAUAUUUCCUUGAAAAUAAAAGAUAUAACUAACUCAAAGAAUUAUUUGCGCUAUUUCUGCUGGAGUUACUAAUGCUCUUUUGUUUUUGUUUUUCCUUUCCUUAGUACUCCAGAGAGGCUUACGGUAUAUUUCUCAAUUCUUCAAUUUAACUAGUUGCUUUUUAAAUGACAUUGCACAGAGUAUAUCAAUAAAUUUAUUAAAGGGUGUCUUCGAUCCACUAGUUGCUUUUGACCUGUGUUUUGGAUUGUGUCUUUCUUAUGGUAGUUAUUUAUGGUAGUUAAUGUAUGAUAUUAUUGCAUGCUAUUUUAUUUAUUUAUUUAUGGUUCUUAUGUUUAGAUAACUAUUUACGCCAUUUCUGCUGGACUUACUAAUGCCCUUUUGUUUUUAUUUUUGUUUUUGUUUUUCCCUUUCCUUCACUGGGCCGAGGGUCGAUUGGAAACAGCCUCCCUGCCCUUUUGGGUAGGGGUAAAGCUCGUCUACAUAUUACCCUCCCCAGACCCCAUUUUGUGGGACUAUACUGGGUAGUAGUUGUUGUUGUUGUUGUAACUCAAAGAAAAAGACUUAAAAUGUAAGCAUUAUUCAUGAAAAUUUAUGCUGUUAGAGAUAGGCUAAGUGGUUGAACCAACACCUUCUACAGGGUGUUGAACUAAGUUUUUGAAAACAUAAUGUGGUCAAACUAAGAUUACUUAAUUCUCUCUUCUUUUCUCCCUAUAAAACCAUAGCCUCAACUCUACUAUCUUUCACAAACAAGCAUUGAAUUGCAUCUACUAAUACUCAAAAAAGAGUUUUAAGGAAAGGAAAAAAAAAUGAAGGCUUUUAAUAGUAUUGCUAACCCUUUGAGUUCUUUCUUCUUUCUAUGCAUUUUGCUUCUCUUGGCAAAUGCAGCAUCUGCAAAAAUUCACAACCAUAAUUUUGUUGUAAGCUAUCCAAGAUUUCCCUUCGUUAUUUGCUAAGGUGUCGUAAGUUUUACAAACGCUUAUGAUACUGACCUCUGUUUUAUUGUAACAGAUUCAAGCAACACCAGUGAAGAGGCUGUGCAAAACUCAUAACACCAUAACGGUGAACGGACAAUUCCCUGGACCAACAUUAGAAGUAAACAACGGGGAUACUUUAGUUGUCAAAGUUGUCAAUAAAGCUCGAUAUAAUGUCACAAUUCACUGGUAAAUUCAUGCAUGCAGAACUCUGGUUAACUGAUAUAUGUUACUCAACAAGAUAGACGCGAUUAUGUGUAAUGACAUUUUCUUUGACAUUUUUAUACUACUUUGUUGUGUUUCAAUAGGCAUGGAGUAAGGCAAAUGAGAACAGGAUGGGCAGAUGGACCAGAAUUUGUCACUCAGUGUCCGAUUAGACCAGGAAAGAGUUACACUUAUCGGUUUACAAUUCAAGGACAAGAAGGAACUCUUUGGUGGCACGCUCACAGCUCGUGGCUCAGGGCUACGGUUUAUGGAGCUCUAAUUAUCCAUCCGAAAGAAGGAGAAUCAUAUCCAUUUGCUCAGCCGAAAAGAGAGACACCAAUUAUGCUUGGUACUACUUCUUCCUUCUCUUCAAUACCAAAAGCUUUGAUCAUUCCUGAAAAUGAAUACUAGUCAUGCAUUUUCUCAUAUAUUCUGUUUCUUAGAAAUUUCGUUGAAAAGAUAGUUUGACGAUGAUGACUAGGUGAGUGGUGGGAUGCAAACCCUAUGGACGUUUAUAAGACGAGCUACAAGAACAGGAGCAGCUCCUAAUGCAUCUGAUGCAUACACCAUUAAUGGUCAACCAGGUGAUCUCUACAAGUGUUCCAGCCAAGGUUAGUUCUAAUCUCAAAUAAUGGAAGCAACUUUACACAUAGUAUAAAGACUAAACUCCACCAAUCCAUGUUACACUAAUGUUCGCCAAACUAUGAUUUGAUAUCGUACCUGUUCUGGACAUGUUAUCAUAGAAAUGAGUUUUUUUGCAGAUACAACCAUAGUCCCUGUGCACUCGGGCGAAACCAACCUCCUUCGAGUUAUCAAUGCUGCACUCAAUCAACAACUUUUCUUUACUGUGGCCAACCACAAACUAACUGUUGUUGGAGCAGAUGCCUCUUAUGUUAAACCCUUCACAACAUCAGUCCUUAUGCUCGGGCCAGGCCAAACAACUGAUGUCUUAAUCACAGCUGAUCAGCAACCAGCUAGAUAUUACAUGGCAGCACGUGCCUAUGCAAGCGCUCAAGGCAACCCCUUUGAUAAUA
Molecule: long non-coding RNA, 5931 nt
Filed under: Nicotiana benthamiana
Lineage: Eukaryota; Viridiplantae; Streptophyta; Magnoliopsida; Solanales; Solanaceae
Description: long non-coding RNA (NBEN_LNC020909)
Source: RNAcentral